CAGGUGGCGCCGUUUUGCUGCAGAGUCGACCCAGCAGACCAGCCAUCUGCAGCAGGGAGUUCACACCUUCAGCCACCCUCAUGUGAGUGUAACCGAUCUCCUGCAGGGGAGAACCAGGAAAUACAACAUCAGGUGAUGCACCACCUGUCGUCUCACCUGUCGGCUUCGUCCAGGAUGAUGAUCUUGUGUCGUCCUUUGGGCAGUGUGACUUUCUGUUGAGCAAACAUCUUGAUCUUGUUCCUCACCACAUCGAUUCCUCUGCAGACACAACAGUCGACAGUGACUCACCCAUCCAUUUACCUCAGACAGGAGUCUCACCUGUCGUUUGAAGCGUUGAGCUCCAGCACAGCGUCUUUCAUGGAGGCUCCCAGCAGAGCGCGGGCCAAACACAGGAUGCUGGUGGUCUUUCCUGUGCCUGGAGGACCUGCA
This is a long non-coding RNA of Acanthopagrus latus (yellowfin seabream), 429 nucleotides long. RefSeq lists it as uncharacterized. The transcript is spliced from 3 exons. The record is from RefSeq and is a predicted model, not a curated record. Lineage: Eukaryota; Metazoa; Chordata; Actinopteri; Spariformes; Sparidae.